This 997-nucleotide ribosomal RNA is filed under the name Pseudothyridariella mahakashae. RNAcentral's name for it is "SSU rRNA". It matches the Rfam family "Eukaryotic small subunit ribosomal RNA", at positions 75 to 1080 of the family's 1831-position model. Lineage: Eukaryota; Fungi; Ascomycota; Dothideomycetes; Pleosporales; Thyridariaceae. The record is from RNAcentral.
UAUACCGUGAAACUGCGAAUGGCUCAUUAAAUCAGUUAUCGUUUAUUUGAUAGUACCUUACUACUUGGAUACCCGUGGUAAUUCUAGAGCUAAUACAUGCAAAAAACCCCGACUUCUGGAGGGGUGUAUUUAUUAGAUAAAAAACCAAUGCCCUUCGGGGCUCCUUGGUGAUUCAUAAUAACUUAACGGAUCGCAUGGCCUUGCGCCGGCGACGGUUCAUUCAAAUUUCUGCCCUAUCAACUUUCGAUGGUAAGGUAUUGGCUUACCAUGGUUUCAACGGGUAACGGAUUUUUAGGGAAAGAUCCCGGAGAGGCAGCCUGAGAAACGGCUACCACAUCCAAGGAAGGCAGCAGGCGCGCAAAUUACCCAAUCCUGAUACAGGGAGGUAGUGACAAUAAAUACUGAUACAGGGCUCUUUUGGGUCUUGUAAUCGGAAUGAGUACAAUUUAAAUACCUUAACGAGGAACAAUUGGAGGGCAAGUCUGGUGCCAGCAGCCGCGGUAAUUCCAGCUCCAAUAGCGUAUAUUAAAGUUGUUGCAGUUAAAAAGCUCGUAGUUGAACCUUGGGCCUGGCUGACCGGUCCGCCUCACCGCGUGUACUGGUUCGGCUGGGCCUUUCCUUCUGGAGAACCGCAUGCCCUUCACUGGGUGUGUCGGGGAACCAGGACUUUUACUUUGAGAAAAUUAGAGUGUUCAAAGCAGGCCUUUGCUCGAAUACGUUAGCAUGGAAUAAUAGAAUAGGACGUGCGGUCCUAUUUUGUUGGUUUCUAGAACCGCCGUAAUGAUUAAUAGGGAUAGUCGGGGGCGUCAGUAUUCAAUUGUCAGAGGUGAAAUUCUUGGAUCUAUUGAAGACUAACUACUGCGAAAGCAUUCGCCAAGGAUGUUUUCAUUAAUCAGUGAACGAAAGUUAGGGGAUCGAAGACGAUCAGAUACCGUCGUAGUCUUAACCGUAAACUAUGCCGACUAGGGAUCGGGCGAUGUUUCUUUCUUGACUCGCU